GGCGAGAUGGCCGAGUGGUCUAAGGCGCUAGAAUCAGGUUUCGAUUGAACAUCUUGCCAUCUAGUCCGAAAGGGCGGGGGUUCGAAUCCCCCUCUCGUCA
This is a non-coding RNA of Abortiporus biennis, 100 nucleotides long. NCBI's taxonomy places the organism in Eukaryota, Fungi, Basidiomycota, Agaricomycetes, Polyporales, Podoscyphaceae. The record is from the annotation of a GenBank genome assembly.